CUGUGUGUGGCUGGUGACAGAGUAGCUGCUGAGACACCGUGAUUGUUCAGCCUCAGAGUAAAAGUUCUGACGCAGCCUAA
This is a small nucleolar RNA of Sorex araneus (European shrew), 80 nucleotides long. RefSeq annotates it as small nucleolar RNA U105B. NCBI's taxonomy places the organism in Eukaryota, Metazoa, Chordata, Mammalia, Eulipotyphla, Soricidae. The record is from RefSeq and is a predicted model, not a curated record. The transcript has a single exon.